This 2185-nucleotide unclassified non-coding RNA is filed under the name Leishmania donovani. RNAcentral's name for it is "gene:LdHU3.28.1760(CDS-product:hypothetical_prote in_conserved)". Lineage: Eukaryota; Euglenozoa; Kinetoplastea; Trypanosomatida; Trypanosomatidae. The record is from RNAcentral.
CCGGCAGAUUAACGUUCUCUGUGCAAUAUUCCAGUAGCUAAAAAGUCUUCACGGUAUACAGCAUGAACGGGAAAAAAAAAACGCAACAUGCAGAAUGUCAAAACGAGAGCAAGGCACGAGUUUGCAAGCGUAAUGCAACGAUGCCGUAGCGGCUUCUGUGAAACAAAAAGGAAAACGGUGCACGUGUUCAUCGCUCUUCUUUUUUGUGGAAAUCAAACACGAAGAGAGACAGAGAGAGACGCGCAUCCUUUACGGAGAAGAAGGGGUGUUGCAGGGUCGAGGCAGCCUGAAACGAGCAACCCCUGUAAUGGAGCUCUUUCCCGUCUUCUACGCGCUGUACACACCCUACACCCUUUCUCUUCUUCUUACUCGCUUUCCUGCUCUUCAUUUGAUAGAGCCAUCACACAGGACGUCGCCGCCGCGCUCAACGCAGUGGAAGGCACCGGUACUGCGGCCUUGCGCAAGCCCUUUCUUUCUACGUGUUCUUCAGCCCCCGAGAGCCUUCUCCGAUUCGUGGGCUGCCUAUCAUGACGUCUCGGCAUCCAACUCGGCGACUUGUGGAUGUGCUAAAGCAGAACAGCAGGAAGACGCUCGACCGCCACGCGGCGCAGUUGGCCGCGGCAGCAUCAUCGCUUCCAGCCGAGGCGAUCCAAACACGAUUCCUGCGCAACCAGUUCCUCAUCAACCCCAAAUCUUUGCAACUACUGUCGACAGAAGAGCAGCUCACGCGGUGGCACGUUUUCGGGGUGUACAAGCCCCCAUUCUGCCCCAUGCGCCGCGUUGAGGCAGCGGACAACUACCACAACGUCUCUGUCGAGUCGUUCGUGGAGUCCGCACUUCAGUCGAAGGACGUCUACCCGGUGCUAAAGCGUGUCUUGAAGCCGUCCGAGGUGCGCGUGCGCGUCCUCUACAAUCUCGACAGCCUUGCCUCGGGUCCAGUGCUCAUCAGCGUCUCCGAUGCCCACCGCUACGCGACGUCGCUGCAGACGACAUCGAUGGAGUACGAUCUACUCGUUGGUGGGCAUCUCCCGGUACACGGCACUGGCAAUCACACUGUCAUCGACGUGGCGCAGCUCUUCCCUGGCGCCUCUGUACCUCUGUCCAGCAGCGGCGUUGGUGCAGACGCUGAAAAGGCAUCCGCCGUUGUACCCCAGGCCCACUACGAGGUGAAAGAGAACGGAUACUACAGCGUGCACCCGGUGUCGCUACUGCACAUCGUGAUUCGGAGCCCGCCAACGUCGCAGCCGCCGAUGCUGGAACGGUUUGCGCGGGAGCAGCUUGGCACCUGUGUCAUCGGUGACCCACUGGUGAUGGGGGAGCUGAUGCAGCUUCGCGCUAACCCAGCCGCGCCGAGCUCACGCAUAUCGGCGAGCUCCACGAAGGAGAGUAGCGACUCUGCACAGAAGUGUCGAGGGGAUGCUGAAGAUGGGUGUAGCGGGUCCAAGAGAGAUCCAGCCGCACAAGCAGCGGCCAUGAGGCUAGCCGCAAACCCGCACAUUGUCCCCUGGCGCGGCGACUGCGACUUUCCUCGCGUCUUUAUGCACCUGCGUGAGGUGCGAAUCGACACUAGCGCUGAGACACCGAGCAGCGUCCCUGAAUGCGCCUAUGCGCAGGACUCGCACUCUAUGCUCCACGGCGCCACAAUGGCCUUCAUGGGCAGCCACCACAGCGGCAGUGCCUCACGAGAGCAAAUGCAUGCACAGCAGUUUGCACCGUCUCAGGAGAUUCAGGUGCACUGCCGCAAGUGUUUCGACGGUCUCCUGCAGAAGCAGCUCAAUGCCUCGUUCAAGUCUCGCCGAAUGGGCUUACUAGAUGGCACUUGGACUCCACAGACAGAGUACUUGUGAGGUCCCGAACAAAAAAAAAGGAGGGCCACAGAGGCCGUCGCGAGAGCGGAGGGGCAGCUGUGCCGCGCGGAGGUGGUGUAACCGACGAGGUGCAAGACACGCGGUUCAGACGAGGAAUGAGGGCAAGUGAGGAGACCUGCACAGCAGGUACGCAUGCGUACGUGGCGUGCACGCGUCCUCUUUCGUUGACUGUUUUCUAACAGCUGUGAUUCCCUAAGUCUCUCUCUCUCUCUCGCUGCUCUCGCUUGCGCGCUUGGAAGGGCUUCCUUGAGUUUGUGUGUGUGUGUGUGUGUGUCUACGUGAUCUGCACUGACAUCUACUCCGUUGUGGCACGUAUC